GACAGAGGCCCCAAGCGUUAGGCGGAAUCACUGGGCUUAAAGCGUGUGUCGGCGGACGCCUAAGUGUCUUGUGAAAUCCCACGGCUCACCCGUGGAACUGCUGGGCAUACUGGGCGUCUUGGGCCAACUAGGGGCAGCCGGAACAAGCGGUGGAGCGGUGAAAUGCGUAGAUAUCGCUUGGAACGCCGAAGGUGAAAACAGGCUGCUGGGGUUGCGCCGACGCUGAGACACGAAAGCCAGGGGAGCAAACGGG
This 253-nucleotide ribosomal RNA is filed under the name uncultured bacterium. Its description in RNAcentral is "partial 16S ribosomal RNA". It matches the Rfam family "Bacterial small subunit ribosomal RNA", at positions 524 to 776 of the family's 1533-position model. The record is from RNAcentral.